RNAcentral lists this ribosomal RNA (1810 nucleotides) under Salmonella enterica. RNAcentral's name for it is "partial 23S ribosomal RNA". It matches the Rfam family "Bacterial large subunit ribosomal RNA", at positions 1009 to 2802 of the family's 2925-position model. Lineage: Bacteria; Pseudomonadati; Pseudomonadota; Gammaproteobacteria; Enterobacterales; Enterobacteriaceae. The record is from RNAcentral.
CGUGAAGAGGGAAACAACCCAGACCGCCAGCUAAGGUCCCAAAGUCAUGGUUAAGUGGGAAACGAUGUGGGAAGGCCCAGACAGCCAGGAUGUUGGCUUAGAAGCAGCCAUCAUUUAAAGAAAGCGUAAUAGCUCACUGGUCGAGUCGGCCUGCGCGGAAGAUGUAACGGGGCUAAACCAUGCACCGAAGCUGCGGCAGCGACACUGUGUGUUGUUGGGUAGGGGAGCGUUCUGUAAGCCUGUGAAGGUGUGUCGUGAGGCAUGCUGGAGGUAUCAGAAGUGCGAAUGCUGACAUAAGUAACGAUAAAGCGGGUGAAAAGCCCGCUCGCCGGAAGACCAAGGGUUCCUGUCCAACGUUAAUCGGGGCAGGGUGAGUCGACCCCUAAGGCGAGGCCGAAAGGCGUAGUCGAUGGGAAACGGGUUAAUAUUCCCGUACUUGGUGUUACUGCGAAGGGGGGACGGAGAAGGCUAUGUUGGCCGGGCGACGGUUGUCCCGGUUUAAGCGUGUAGGUGUGUGUUCCAGGUAAAUCCGGUUCACUUUAACACUGAGGCGUGACGACGAGGCACUACGGUGCUGAAGCAACAAAUGCCCUGCUUCCAGGAAAAGCCUCUAAGCAUCAGGUAACAUCAAAUCGUACCCCAAACCGACACAGGUGGUCAGGUAGAGAAUACCAAGGCGCUUGAGAGAACUCGGGUGAAGGAACUAGGCAAAAUGGUGCCGUAACUUCGGGAGAAGGCACGCUGACACGUAGGUGAAGUGAUUUACUCAUGGAGCUGAAGUCAGUCGAAGAUACCAGCUGGCUGCAACUGUUUAUUAAAAACACAGCACUGUGCAAACACGAAAGUGGACGUAUACGGUGUGACGCCUGCCCGGUGCCGGAAGGUUAAUUGAUGGGGUCAGCGCAAGCGAAGCUCCUGAUCGAAGCCCCGGUAAACGGCGGCCGUAACUAUAACGGUCCUAAGGUAGCGAAAUUCCUUGUCGGGUAAGUUCCGACCUGCACGAAUGGCGUAAUGAUGGCCAGGCUGUCUCCACCCGAGACUCAGUGAAAUUGAACUCGCUGUGAAGAUGCAGUGUACCCGCGGCAAGACGGAAAGACCCCGUGAACCUUUACUAUAGCUUGACACUGAACAUUGAGCCUUGAUGUGUAGGAUAGGUGGGAGGCUUUGAAGUGUGGACGCCAGUCUGCAUGGAGCCGACCUUGAAAUACCACCCUUUAAUGUUUGAUGUUCUAACGUGGACCCGUUACCCGGGUUGCGGACAGUGUCUGGUGGGUAGUUUGACUGGGGCGGUCUCCUCCUAAAGAGUAACGGAGGAGCACGAAGGUUGGCUAAUCCUGGUCGGACAUCAGGAGGUUAGUGCAAUGGCAUAAGCCAGCUUGACUGCGAGCGUGACGGCGCGAGCAGGUGCGAAAGCAGGUCAUAGUGAUCCGGUGGUUCUGAAUGGAAGGGCCAUCGCUCAACGGAUAAAAGGUACUCCGGGGAUAACAGGCUGAUACCGCCCAAGAGUUCAUAUCGACGGCGGUGUUUGGCACCUCGAUGUCGGCUCAUCACAUCCUGGGGCUGAAGUAGGUCCCAAGGGUAUGGCUGUUCGCCAUUUAAAGUGGUACGCGAGCUGGGUUUAGAACGUCGUGAGACAGUUCGGUCCCUAUCUGCCGUGGGCGCUGGAGAACUGAGGGGGGCUGCUCCUAGUACGAGAGGACCGGAGUGGACGCAUCACUGGUGUUCGGGUUGUCAUGCCAAUGGCACUGCCCGGUAGCUAAAUGCGGAAGAGAUAAGUGCUGAAAGCAUCUAAGCACGAAACUUGCCCCGA